AGAGUUUGAUCCUGGCUCAGAACGAACGCUGGCGGCAUGCCUAACACAUGCAAGUCGAACGAGACCUUCGGGUCUAGUGGCGCACGGGUGCGUAACGCGUGGGAAUCUGCCCUUAGGUUCGGAAUAACUCAGGGAAACUUGAGCUAAUACCGGAUAAUGACUUCGGUCCAAAGAUUUAUCGCCUAAGGAUGAGCCCGCGUAGGAUUAGCUUGUUGGUGAGGUAAAAGCUCACCAAGGCGACGAUCCUUAGCUGGUCUGAGAGGAUGAUCAGCCACACUGGGACUGAGACACGGCCCAGACUCCUACGGGAGGCAGCAGUGGGGAAUAUUGGACAAUGGGCGAAAGCCUGAUCCAGCAAUGCCGCGUGAGUGAUGAAGGCCUUAGGGUUGUAAAGCUCUUUUACCCGGGAUGAUAAUGACAGUACCGGGAGAAUAAGCUCCGGCUAACUCCGUGCCAGCAGCCGCGGUAAUACGGAGGGAGCUAGCGUUGUUCGGAAUUACUGGGCGUAAAGCGCACGUAGGCGGCUUUGUAAGUUAGAGGUGAAAGCCCGGGGCUCAACUCCGGAACUGCCUUUAAGACUGCAUCGCUAGAAUCCGGGAGAGGUGAGUGGAAUUCCGAGUGUAGAGGUGAAAUUCGUAGAUAUUCGGAAGAACACCAGUGGCGAAGGCGGCUCACUGGACCGACACUGACGCUGAGGCGCGAAAGCGUGGGGAGCAAACAGGAUUAGAUACCCUAGUAGUCC
This 742-nucleotide ribosomal RNA is filed under the name uncultured bacterium. RNAcentral describes it as "bacterial SSU rRNA". It matches the Rfam family "Bacterial small subunit ribosomal RNA", at positions 8 to 796 of the family's 1533-position model. The record is from RNAcentral.